Molecule: ribosomal RNA, 499 nt
Filed under: uncultured bacterium
Lineage: Bacteria
Description: bacterial SSU rRNA
Rfam family: Bacterial small subunit ribosomal RNA
Source: RNAcentral
UAGUCCACGCCGUAAACGAUGAAUGCCAGCUGUCGGGGGGCAUGCCCUUCGGUGGCGCAGCUAACGCUUUAAGCACACCGCCUGGGGAGUACGGUCGCAAGAUUAAAACUCAAAGGAAUUGACGGGGACCCGCACAAGCGGUGGAGCAUGUUGUUUAAUUCGACGCAACGCGAAGAACCUUACCUACACUUGACAUACUCGUCGGGACUUUCAGAGAUGAUUGUCUUCGGUUCGGCCGGACGAUGUACAGGUGCUGCACGGCUGUCGUCAGCUCGUGUCGUGAGAUGUUUGGUUAAGUCCAGCAACGAGCGCAACCCCUAUCGUAUGUUGCCAGCAUUCAGUUGGGCACUCAUGCGAGACUGCCGGUGUUAAGCCGGAGGAAGGUGGGGACGACGUCAAGUCAUCAUGGCCCUUACGUGUAGGGCUACAAACGUGCUACAAUGGGAGUUACAGUGGGCAGCGACGUCGCGAGGCGAAGCUAAUCCCUAAAAGCUCUCUC